Molecule: non-coding RNA, 5134 nt
Organism: Sturnus vulgaris (Common starling)
Lineage: Eukaryota; Metazoa; Chordata; Aves; Passeriformes; Sturnidae
Source: RefSeq, a predicted model, not a curated record
UGUUGCUGAAUGCUCGAAGUAACAGUUGCACUUAAGGAUGAAUCCAUUCUUCAAUACACAGUGAGAAUGAAACCAGUCACAAAUUUCUCACAGAAGAGAGAUUUAAACAGAGACCAAUCUAUGACCUUUGAGCUAUUUAAGGCUCAUAAACAACUUAAAAUUCCUUCUCAAACCAGUUUGUUACACUAUGAUUAGAAGAAGCAAAGAUCUGGUAAUAUGGAAACUGUUGGAUAAUUCAAAUCCCUGGUUGCAGAAGCAGGUAAAGAAUGGCUGAUAAGUUUCAUCCACCUGGACUGUCUGAAGCUCUGCUACAAGUCCAUAUCAGCCCUAUCCAACAGGGGAUCAGUGGGAUUUUAUGAAGAUAAUGACAACUGCAGCUCAAAGAGCUACGUCUAUUGAGUUAUGGAGUAAAUAUUUUAAGAGAUUUUAGCCAGUUGAAAGUUUUCUAAAGUGACUCAUCAGGUCAGGCAAUUGGAUACAACGCAGACACACAUUCACAAGCUCCAAACCUUUCAAACAACCAUAAACAUAGGCAAAAGAGUCAACAAUAAAUCGUGAAUGAUUAACAGCUCACCCUGAUUGAAUAAGGUGCUCAGAGCAGUCCUGUUUCUAUAUCACCACUCAAUGACAGCAAAUGAGUUUGUUAGUAUGGAAAAUGUUCAGGAAGCAACUGAGAAUCUCAUUCAAGUACCUAUCUCAGGCAAACUGAGAUACCGCCUACUGCAAGAAGUCUGCUCUCCUGGUAUUCAUUGUCUGCACCUGGCACACAAGGAAUGCUGUUCCAGUAGAAAUUAGCCAAUGUCCUAAGGAUCCAGAGAUUGCCUGCGGGCAAAGCAUGCUUAUUAAAUGCUACUGAGAUUCCUCAAUGGGAACAUCCUCUGAGGUUCUUUGAAUAGUCAGUACUACCAAGCAGAACCAAAUUUAGAAAACUGAUCUUUUUUAAACUACUUCUGCUGAGUAUCUAUGGUACUUGGCAUGCAAAAAAAGCCUUUUAUCUAACCAAUUGAGGAAAAAUCCUAGCAGUGACUCCACGGCAUGGGGCAUUUGCAGAAGACAUUAUAGGAUUUUUCAUGGUGUCUGAGGAUGGAUAUAUUGCUAAAUUAUCCCACAGCCUAAAGAAGACAGAUGAUUUCUGCAGUGAUCACGCAUGGCUGACAAUCAGUUCAUUAAGACAUCCACUGAGCUGGCAGUUAUAAGCAAGUGUAACCAGAACCAGGCCAAGUCUUAUAACGAAACUGAUUCCAUGGUAUGGUGCACAUGGGGGAGGAGAACAUAUCUGCCCAGGUUAUCGACGGAACACCGUGGCAACACAUUAGCAAAGAAAGAUGCUUAUUACUGUAUGUGACAGGACCAGAAGAAUUUCUCACACACCAAUUGGAUAAUCUACAGUGUAUUGAAAUUAUAUGUUUACAAGAACAAAAAUUAUUGAAAUACAGUACUUCAUUUUGUUCCAAACAUAUAUGUGACAAAAUCUCUUUCUGAAUACUGGUGUGAUGCAUUGUUUCCCAGAGUAAACUUACAACCUGCUUUCCUAAUAGAUUUCCACCUGCAUUUAUAUAUCGAGUAAACAGAACUAUUCAAAAGUGGUAGGUCUCUCAGGGAAAGCAUGUGUGUACAUAUUUCCUUAAGGCCUAAAAAUGAAGCUAAGUCUAAGUCACCAUGAGUACAUGGUCUUUUCAUGGACUGGACGUUGGAUUGUGUCAUUGCAUUUAAUUUGUUACAGAGUUCACCUUACUCCAUUAAAUCCAGCACUAGAACUGAAAAUUUUCUGUUUUACAAGAGGGUGACAUUGGGCAGACAGAAUAAUGCGUACCUCAAGAUUUCAUAAUAAGAUGUUCCCCAUAAACAUUAUAACCUCAAGAACAGUAAAAGUUAUCUUGUUUCUUUUUAUGUGCCAUCCCUAUGGUAGUCAUUAAAACAUCCUUUGUGCUGCCACAGUAUUCAUAGGAGAGGCUAUUCUGAUAAUGGUAAGCUAAGUAAACUGAUCUCCUCCCAACAGAUAACGUGGAUACAGACAAGGACUUGAUUGUCAUGCCAUAUCAGACGACUCAUGCAUACAUUAAUGUUAAACCAUGAUAGGAAAUAGAGGAAAAGAAUAAUUACUUUACUCUGAAAAUCCACUUCUUCUUCAUAUAUAUUUAGAUGAAUACAUGAAAAAUGAGGGGUGAGCAACAGAAAAGGAAAAAUAUAUAUGUAUAUCUUCUAUAUCAGGAAAAUAUGAGUAGAAAUAAUGGCAAAUGUUACCAAAAUAUUACCUCUGUUGUGCAUCAGUUUUGAUCUAACUGAUAAUAAGAACAUUCAGGCUUUUGUCUCUCUUUGCAUCUGGAUGUUUAAAAGUAGAUUCUCAAUUUCUGAUUACUAGGUUUACCUUAUAGUUUCUGCAGAGUCACUUACUAACUUGAAGACACACCCUGAAACCUCUACUGCACAGAUGGAUUUCUGUACACUCAGAAAGCCCUUUUACUUCAAUAUCUCUCACUCAGAACACAACUGUCAACAUACAAGGAUAUAAGGGAAACUCAGAACACAACUGAAAAUUAUAUAUUAAAAAAUUAUACUGAAAAUUCAGGUUAAAGUGACCACAAAAUAGGCUUUUAUCACCCAGUUAUGCUGUUAAAACCAAAACAGUGGUAAAAAAAGAAUGCAUCCCACUGGUUACUCCUGCUUGGGUUGUGCUGGUCCUAAAAUGUGGGAGAUUAUUACAACAAUAGCAGCUGAUCUGACUGCAAAGCUAGCAAGAGUGUUUACAUAAAACUUGAGGCCACUGAAUUUAGAAACUUUUAAAAUGGGGCUUUUGAGACUAAAGGAUUAGCUUUCCUUAACGAGUAAAGAAGUCUCAGAAUGGAGUAUGAUUAUCACCUAUACUGCAGGAAAAAUUUCCUGUAAGAAAUUUAGUAGGUAGAUGUCUCAGAACAGUUAUCUGAGCCAUGACAAGAGACUUGAUUAGCAGGUUAUUCCACCUAGAAUGAGAUGAAAAGAUAAAAUACUGUGAAUCCCGGGAUAAUUGUUGGUAUUGGAAUCUGGGAAUGUAUCUGAUCUAAUAGAACCACUGGCUUUCAACUAGCAGUGGUACAAGACUUAAGUUAGCAAGAGUAAUUAUCAAACCUGUGAAUCAAGCACAGCUACAGUAGGAAGAGCUGCAAAUUUGGCUUCAGCAGGUAUGGAGAAGGAAAACAGACAAGGUAAUGAAGGUAAGAAAGAAUACAAGGAAAUCCCAGUCCUGUGGAUCUAAUAAAAGGUCUACACGCUGUGGAUAUUACAGAUUGUAAUUUUCAGAAAUACCAUCUUAAAUGAUCCACAGCCUUCAUUUAAAAUAACGAUAAAAACAACAGAAAAGGAAAAACAGUCCUCAGCGUGGGAUUAGCUCUUUAUGUAAAGAGAUGGUAAUGGUAACUGCAUAAUAUUCUUGGACAAUAUGAUAAAAACUUCCUUUAGUGGACAUCAAUGAAACUGCAGGAAGCAAACAUGGUAAGAUUUGAGAAAAAGAGGCAAAGAUUUGAGAAAAUGGGAUAGAAUACAUAAAUUCCUUGCUGACUCAUUUUGUCAAGUAAAUAAAAAAUCAUGAGGAAAGAAAACUACAAAAAAUAAUAGGUCCCUCUCAGCGAAGCCCUCAGACACCGUCUCUUCCUUUCAAUAACAAAGACUAGGGAGACUCUGCUGUCUACUUUCCCUGCUCUAGUGGUAAAAUUACAAUAUAACCAAUGGAAAUGGCCAGUAACAAUAUUAGUCCUGGGUGGUCAAGGGAAGAACUUUAACUACCACUAAUGCCAUGAUGUUAAUUGAUACAGUAGUAUCAAUAACCACUCUUCAACAAAUAUUUUUUCCAGCUAUAGCCCAAGAAAGAGGAAAAAUGACAAAACUUACCUGCAUUAUAUGCAUGAAAGGAUGUUCAAGUAUCUGUAUUAAGAUCUCUGCCUGCAAUUAAAUAGCUGCCAAGUUCAGGAGUCUCCUUCUCCUGUUCCUUCAGGAGUGGGAGGAUCCCUUUUAGGAACACCAGGGAAUUAUUGGCACAGCAUUGUUGAAACAAAAUGAAUUAGCCGCAGAUUUUGCUACGGAUGUUUGUGAAAUUGGGCCUGACCAGUGGGAGGUGAGGGUGGAGUGAUUCCUGCAAGUCAUUGAUGCUUUGUUAUUAGGAAUCCGGAGGAAAUAAAAACAGUGGAUAUUUGGGUAACAGAAUUUCCUCAAGUUUUGUGUCUGUAAUUUAAAAUGGGAAAAAAUAGAAAUUGCAUUUUAAUGGCAGAGGAAGGACUCCAAUCCACCAUCAACAAGUUUACUGAAAGCAAGCUCUUAGUACAGAGACCUAUUAUUUUAACAUCCUAUUUGUCCAGGGUUAAAAGCAAAGAAAGAAAGCUAAAAGUGAGAUUUUAACACUUAAAUAACAUAGCCAUCUCUCACGUUGUUUGUAUGCCUGUAACACUAAGCAGAAUAUUUGACGGGUAUUUUGUUACUGAUUUAACUAGAGCUUUCUUUGCAAUUCCACUAACAGACCAGAUCUAGUAACAACAAACAUUAAGCUGUGAGAGAAAGUAAUGUUCUUUUUCUAUGUUCCUCAAGACUUUCACAUCAAACGUAUCACAUAUGUAUGAAAUUACCAUCACAAUGUGUUAUGUCAUACCAUACAUGAAUGACAUGCCAGUACAUGGAAAAACUGAAAGUUUGGGAAUAUACUCAAGAAGUAGCCAGCAUUACUCAAAACAUAGGCUUCAAAGUUGAUCAUGACAAAACUCAAGUACAUAGGCUUCAAAGUUCAUCAUGACAAAACUCAGGUAUAAUCUAAAGUGAAAUAUUCAGUAAUAAUUUUAGGUGUAUUAGAAGAAGGAAUGGUGAUACUGGCAUCAGCAAAGGGUAGAAUUGAAUAUGAGAGUCCAUGCAUGUAAAAAUUGUAUUUGUUUCACUUUUGCAGCUGCUUACAUUUUUGUGGGAAUCAUAUUUGCAGAAAUUAGUAAGCCACUAAUCAAAUUAGUGAAGAAAUCUCACAAAACAGAAUGGAAAGAAAAAAAAGAAGUAAAACUGCACUAGUUCAAAUGCUAGCAUUUAGAUGCACAUUGCAGUAAGCAGAUUCAUGUUCAGCUGGCCACUACCAAUCUACACAGUGCUGUUUAAAGAACACAGAAAUAAAAUGGUUUUGCUUUGA